AUUGAACGCUGGCGGCAGGCCUAACACAUGCAAGUCGAACGAGUGGCGGACGGGUGAGUAAUGUCUGGGAAACUGCCUGAUGGAGGGGGAUAACUACUGGAAACGGUAGCUAAUACCGCAUACCAUCGGCUGUGCCCAGAUGGGAUUAGCUAGUAGGUGGGGUAACGGCUCACCUAGGCGACGAUCCCUAGCUGGUCUGAGAGGAUGACACUCCCCACUGGAACUGAGACACGGUCCAGACGCGAUCUAUAUCAUCACUUUUUAAAUAUUGCACAAUGAGCGCAAGCCUGAUACAGCCAUGCCGCGUGUAUGAAGAAUACCGUCGGGUUAUAAAGUACUUUCAGCGGGGAGGCGUUACCCGCAGAAGAAGCACCGGCUAACUCCGUGCCAGCAGCCGCGGUAAUUC
This 406-nucleotide ribosomal RNA is filed under the name uncultured bacterium. RNAcentral's name for it is "partial 16S ribosomal RNA". It matches the Rfam family "Bacterial small subunit ribosomal RNA", at positions 30 to 526 of the family's 1533-position model. The record is from RNAcentral.